Molecule: ribosomal RNA, 241 nt
Filed under: uncultured bacterium
Lineage: Bacteria
Description: partial 16S ribosomal RNA
Rfam family: Bacterial small subunit ribosomal RNA
Source: RNAcentral
UGGGGAAUAUUGCACAAUGGGCGAAAGCCUGAUGCAGCAACGCCGCGUGAGUGAUGAAGGUCUUCGGAUUGUAAAGCUCUGUCUUUUGGGACGAUAAUGACGGUACCAAAGGAGGAAGCCACGGCUAACUACGUGCCAGCAGCCGCGGUAAUACGUAGGUGGCGAGCGUUGUCCGGAUUUACUGGGCGUAAAGGGUGCGUAGGCGGAUGUUUAAGUGAGAUGUGAAAUACCCGGGCUUAAC